RNAcentral lists this transfer-messenger RNA (435 nucleotides) under Candidatus Levyibacteriota bacterium. It matches the Rfam family "transfer-messenger RNA". From Rfam's summary of the family: Bacterial tmRNA, also known as 10Sa RNA or SsrA, is named for its dual tRNA and mRNA-like properties. Its role is to liberate the mRNA from a stalled ribosome. The record is from RNAcentral. Lineage: Bacteria; Candidatus Levyibacteriota.
GGGGAUGCAAUGCAUCGACAGGAAUUGCUCUUUUACAACUGCAAGCCGGCAAUGAUUCAAAGCCGUAAAAAUGGAUCAAAACACAAAUGCUAAAAACGACGGAGUCGUUAAGGCACGUGGACUCGUAGCUCGUCUAGCUGACGGGGUCUCUAAGGGGCUUGCUCCUCAGGGACGACUUGCUUACGCUGUAUAAGUGUAAGUGACGCGGUUCACACCGUCUAUACCGUUUCUUUUCUCAAACGGAUUAGGUAUAGACAUAAACCAGUUUGAGAUAGGAUUUAGAAAGUGAUUGGUUCUAGAUUAGAAAAUUAAAAUCUUGGAAUUGUUUUUCUUGUUAAUAAGAUCAAAACAAAACGACAAUAAAGUAUUAACUACGCUUGUAGAUGUUGUAGGAAGUUAUUUUUGGACGGGAGAUCAAACUCCCCAUCUCCACAU